GAGAACCGAAAGCGCAAGUCAGGCUCACUGCACCUGCAUAUGGGGAAGCCAGAAAAACCUGUUCCAAACUUCUGAGACAUGACGGUACAUGAUGAAUCCUGUUUCUAUCCCAACUAACAUCUCUGCCCUUAGCUGGAGUAUCUGGUGCACUUAUAUUUAAUAAGUCAGAAGUCUUAAAUCAAUUUCACAUGGCUAAAGUCAAGGAGUUGGUAGACCUGCAUUACCUCUGGAGGCACUGGAGGUGACUCCAUUUCCUUGCAUUUUCCAGCUGCUAGAGACCACCUGCAUUCUUUAGCUCAUGGUCCCUUCACCUAUCUUCAGAGCCGGUAGCAUGGCAUUUUAAAAUCUCUCUGACCUCCACUUCUAAUUGAACAUCUCUCUCUGAUGCUGAUUCUUCAGUUUUUAUUUUGUUGUAACUCCCGUGAUUACACUGGGCCCACCCAGAUAAUCCAAAAUAAUCUCCUCAUCUCAAAACCCAUAACUUAAUUACAUC
Molecule: long non-coding RNA, 493 nt
Filed under: Homo sapiens (human)
Lineage: Eukaryota; Metazoa; Chordata; Mammalia; Primates; Hominidae
Description: HSALNT0205651
Source: RNAcentral